CCACCCAAUGCUCCGCCUACGCCUGCCGUCACGUUAUCGCCUGCAGAGGCGAAACCGGUGCUCAGGGUAAGAGACAACAACAGUAUCGAGGAAUACUUCAUGUAGGGAAUCUCAUAGGGAUGACGCCGCGAUAUUCGUGUCAAGUGAAGAAUGUAGCAAUGCAAAUCCGACGAGUAACACGAUUGCAAAACAAACAGCUAAGUUAUUGUUUUGGCUAAGGAACUUAAACCUGAAAAUACAGUCUGAGGUUACUUGCGACAGGCCCGUUUCCAGAGAAACGGGCCUUUUUUAUGGGCUUCAGAUAAUCCGCACCGACUCCGCCGAGCGCUCAAGGCGGAUCGCCACGAACUUCGAGGUCGGCGUGCUGCUGCCGUC
RNAcentral lists this small RNA (375 nucleotides) under Pseudomonas floridensis. RNAcentral describes it as "Pseudomonas sRNA P34". It matches the Rfam family "Pseudomonas sRNA P34". The record is from RNAcentral. Lineage: Bacteria; Pseudomonadati; Pseudomonadota; Gammaproteobacteria; Pseudomonadales; Pseudomonadaceae.